AGUGAACGCUGGCGGUAGGCCUAACACGUGCAAGUCGAACGGCAGCACAGUAAGAGCUUGCUCUUACGGGUGGCGAGUGGCGGACGGGUGAGGAAUACAUCGGAAUCUACUUUUUCGUGGGGGAUAACGUAGGGAAACUUACGCUAAUACCGCAUACGACCUGCGGGUGAAAGCAGGGGAUCUUCGGACCUUGCGCGAUUGAAUGAGCCGAUGUCGGAUUAGCUAGUUGGCGGGGUAAAGGCCCACCAAGGCGACGAUCCGUAGCUGGUCUGAGAGGAUGAUCAGCCACACUGGAACUGAGACACGGUCCAGACUCCUACGGGAGGCAGCAGUGGGGAAUAUUGGACAAUGGGCGCAAGCCUGAUCCAGCCAUACCGCGUGGGUGAAGAAGGCCUUCGGGUUGUAAAGCCCUUUUGUUGGGAAAGAAAAGCAGCAGGUUAAUACCCCGCUGUUCUGACGGUACCCAAAGAAUAAGCACCGGCUAACUUCGUG
This 492-nucleotide ribosomal RNA is filed under the name uncultured bacterium. RNAcentral's name for it is "partial 16S ribosomal RNA". It matches the Rfam family "Bacterial small subunit ribosomal RNA", at positions 29 to 507 of the family's 1533-position model. The record is from RNAcentral.